RNAcentral lists this ribosomal RNA (427 nucleotides) under uncultured archaeon. RNAcentral describes it as "bacterial SSU rRNA". It matches the Rfam family "Archaeal small subunit ribosomal RNA", at positions 474 to 903 of the family's 1478-position model. The record is from RNAcentral.
UACCAGCUCUCCGAGCGGUAGGGAUGUUUAUUGGGCUUAAAGCGUCCGUAGCCGGCUUAGCAAGUCUCCUGUUAAAUUCAGCGACCUAAUCGUUGAGCCGCGGGAGAUACUACUAGGCUAGGAGGCGGGAGAGGUCAACGGUACUUCCGGGGUAGGGGUGAAAUCCUAUAAUCCCGGGAGGACCACCAGUGGCGGAGGCUGUUGACUAGAACGCGCUCGACGGUGAGGGACGAAAGCUGGGGGGGCAACCGGAUUAGAUACCCGGGUAGUCCCAGCUGUAAACGAUGCGAGCUAGGUGUUGGGGUGGCUACGUGCCACUUCAGUGCCGCAGGGAAGCCAUUAAGCUCGCCGACCUGGGGAGUACGGCCGCAAGGCUGAAACUUAAGGAAUUGGCGGGGAGCACCACAAGGCGUGAAGCUUGCGGUUC